UGCUUCUUCCUUCCUCCUCAGGAUAGGUGCCUUGGGACAGUGCCUCACAUGAGGCCUAGAAACAAGUAAAGUAUUAUCUGAUACUUUAAUAAUGAAAGCUCUUUGGAUAGUGUUUGAGAGAGGCUAAGAAACCCAUAUUCCAGUUUUAUGAAAAUAGGUCUCCGCUGGAGUCUAGGGAUGUAAUUAAAGGCACUAUAUCUUGUUUCAUAAUUUUAGCAUCCAGUGGGGGAGAAAGGUUGCCCACAAGGCUGGCAGAUCAUUUGGUAUUUUGGAGAUAAGCUCUCUCUAUAUCACAGAGGGAGUAAGAGAAAUGGUAAGUAAAUAGUGACGUGAGAUAAUCAAACAGGAAAGAAACUAACAAGUGGAUCUGUUGUCUCUUGAAGAUCCCCAAAUUAAGAUGGUAGGCAUUCUACUCUCUGGAAGCAAUGAUCAGAAGAAUUUGUUAGUUCUCUCAGUAAGACCUGAGUGGGCUGAAUGUCAUAUCAUUGGAUCAGCAAAAGUGAAAAUGAGUGUAUAUGGGAAGAAUGCUAAGCAGAGUUGUGGCAUACCCAGCUGCACUGGAGGAUUUUUAGGAGAAGGGCAUAAAGACCUUGAGGGUAUAGCCUUAUUCUAAAACACUUUUGCAUACUUUUUUCUCAUGGGGAGCAAACAGCCAGACUGAAAUGGAAUUAUUAUUUUACUGAUAAUAGAGGACAGUAUUACCUUAGGAGCAGAUAGGGCUGAAAGUCAUGCAUUACUAAACUUGAGGUCACUGGAAUCAUAUCAUUUCAUUUGUUCAGCAAACAUUUAUUACACAGCCAGAAUUAGCCAAAAUAAAUUCAUUCAUAAAGAAUUACGACCCUUUUCCUUGAGGAUCUACAAUCUAAUUGGAAAGAUGGGAGGACAAAAGAAACAUAGGAAAUAGCAAAAGCCAGUGUUUGCUUCUAUAUGCAGAAUAAGAAAUAAUCACACAAAAGCAUAGGGUUUUGGAGCUAAGGGACUGAGAUUUUCUAUUCUAAUCCCUUUUUUCAAGAGGUGAGGAAGUUCAGGUCAAGUCCUACAGAGAUGAGGCUAAUUCUCUGACUCCAAUGGGAGAGCCCUACCCACUCUGCACUGUGUUUAAAAUGGCACUGUGUUAAAAAUGCAGAACAGUAGGUGGGACAGAAAGUUUUGGUCAGGGAAGCCUUGGUGGGGGAGGUAAGAAGCAAGCCAGCUUUGGGAGGAAGUGUGGGGACGAAAUUGAACUCAAUUGGUGAAGAGGUAGAAGACAUUUCAAAGUUUGGACACUAGAUGGGCAGUGCAAGAAGCCAGACUGGGCAAGCUGUGUAGCCAGGAACUCAGAAGGCCACCAGAACAUUCCCAUGUGCUCCCUAAGCUUCCUCCUUUGAAAGCCCAAGAACAAUUCUUUUAGUCCCUCUUCCAACUUUAACUAGAGUAUAUUCUUUAUAGCCUAAGACUCCAAACUCAUACUAUUUACUUUUGUCAGUUCUUCAUUUCUGUCUUACUCCUUCCAGGCAGGGAUUUAGUGGAUUAAGAUAGAAUCGACUACUGGAUCUACAAGAACACCUGACAGCCUCCAUGUCAUUUCUGAAAACAUGACAGAAUUCUCCAACCUGACUUGGAGCAUAAACUUUGAAAACUAAGGAGUAUAUAAUAUGCUUAUUCAUUUCAGGAUUGCUUUUUAAACCAGGAAUUGCAAGUUCCAGAUGCAGAAUAUUUUCUCCCAGCCAGGGAGUGAGCAGUUUUUAUAAGGGAAUGCAGAGAAUGUUGACCUCUGUAUAGGAAGUGGGGGUCAGCCAACGUGAGGUGAGUUGGGUGAAACACGUAAGACGUUCCACUGAAAAGAGGAACUAGUAUACUGGUCAGGAAGGUUUGGGAAACAUUGCUGAUUCUCUAACCAAGUAAGUCUGGAGUUUUAUAAUGCACAUGAGCAUAUAAAAUGUUCUUAGAACUUCUGGGAUAAAGAAAACAGUUUGAUUUUGUUUAAGCCCAUGUUUCCAAACUUACUUGGACACAGACUCUUUCUUGUGUCAGUGGAACCAGGGCCCUGCAAGUGACAUCCUUGGAAGUGCUGCUGUGAGAAAUCAGUACAAGGCACUCGGAAUGGGUGGCAGAAUCCUCAUCCCAGCUGACUCAGGGGAGACACCCAGAGCGCCUGAUUGUCAACAGCACAUUUGAGAUACCUGUAGGCUGUCGUUUCUGUAGAAGUCAGUGUCUCAAGCUGGGGAAAUAUAGUCCUCAAGUUCAGCUCUUCCCAGAGUCUUUUACUCAGGAAAAAAGUAAACAAGGAUGAGAUUUAGGGAUACUACUUUCUUCCAAAGUCUUAAGCAACUCUUUCAUUUCCAGAUGCUUUUAAAUCAUUUUUUAAAGCCUGGGUGUAGGUGUGGUGCUCUCUGUGCUAAGAGACAAAACAAAACAAGAAAAUUAAAAAUGUACAACUACCAUGAGAUAGAGUGCUUGGAUUUACCCUGGAUUUAGAAGGCCAUGGUAGGUGGCUUGAAUAUAAUAGAAAAGUCCACCAGAAGAAAAUGGAAACAAAUUCUACCCUUGAAGGAAAUCAAUCCAUUCCACUAAUUUGAAAUCCUAGUACCUUCCAUCAUACUUUCCUGGCUGAAGAUUAAUUCUCAGAAUUCAUUAGUGUCACCACAUUAAACACAGGUUGUUGCAGCCAUGUGCUGUGAUCUCCCAGCCUAGCUUCUGCCAGAAACAGGCAAAAAGGAGACAUUUCUUAGCAAGAAACAAGGUCUGACUUCCGUAUUGCUCUCUAGAACUGGUGGGGCCCGUGUUCUUUCCGUCCCCAAAUGAUAACACUGUCGAGACACAGCUGCCUUGUCACUGUAAACUGCCAUUUCAUAACCAAAAAAUCAGAUGGCUGAAAGAGGAAGCUAUUUAUCAAUAGUCACAGGCAGAUGUUUAUAUGAAUAAAACACACUUGAUAAAGAGCAGCUGAAAAGUCAAAAACUAAAAAUACUGGUGAACUGGGUGAGAGAAGCAGGAGGGGAAGCAAUCCUGUUCCAUGCAAAACUAGAUCAAAACUUGGGAUUUGUGUCUCUUCUAAUUUCCUUUUUAAUAUUCUUUUAUACUUUCCACUGUUUUCCUGUGGGUUUAGAUUGUGAAGUGUUUGCACUGGUACAUAAUAUCCAAACAGUUUUGAUCAGAGCACACAUUUCCCUGCCUCGUGAUGCAUCUUGCUGCCCUGCAGUUCCUAUCAUCGUCAGACAGAAGCCUGAGUGACAAAGAGGCCUCUGCAUCAAAAGGAGAAAAUCCUCCAGGGGAUAUACUAAUUAUAGGUUAAAUAUUGGAGCCCGUGGUGCUCUGUCUUGGAAGGAAAUUUCCAUUCUGAAAGACAGGACUAUGACAAACACAGGCAUUUUCCCAAGAUGACUAAUGCCUCAAAAGAAGGCAGGCUGAGAAACUUGAUAAUGCAUAUGUAUUUUAGUGAAACCUCACCUUUCCAUUUGGUGGAAUAUUUAACUGCAUUUCAGUUUUCAUGAAGUUGACAACUAUUGCAUGUGGUGGUGUUUUAAAGUCUUGCUGGCAAGGCUGGGCCUGGGAUGAGAAAGUGGGUUCCUAACCUAAAACAUGUGAGAACCAGAAGCACCUUUGCUUUAGUCAGCAAGGUAGGUCUGUGGUUAUCAAUCAAUGAGAAAUAGUAUUCGCUAAAAGUAAAAAAGCCCUGAGAAUGUAGGACAGAGGGUUUUAGAACAGGAAGCUCUGGGGCACCUGGGUGGCUCAGUCGGUUAAGCAUCUGACUUCCGCUCAGGUCAUGAUCUCACAGUUAGUGCAUUCAAGCCCUGCGUCAGGCUCUGUGCUGACAGCUCAGAGCCUGGAGCCUGCUUCAGCUUCUGUGUCUCCCCUUCUCUCUGCCAUUCCACCCCCCCCCCACCGCCCCCCGCUCAAAAAUAAAUAAAUGUUAAAAAAAAAAAGAAAAAGAAAAAAAAAAAAAAGAACAGGAUGCUCAAUCUCCUUUUGAAAGGGGUAACAGGCACAGAUUCUGUGUGGCAAAGUCAGAGAUAAGACUACAGGGCUACAGGACAACAGAGCAGCUGCCAUCUUGCCUCAAAUGCCAGGGCAAGGAGAACCCCGAUGCAGGCUUAGAAAACCAUCAAGUCAGCCCAAGCUUUAAACAAAGCAAACAGCACCAAAAGUCCAGAGUGAGCUCAGGGGAACCUAACAAGGAAACAGAAAGAGAAAAACAUUGCGUUUCCUGUAACCUGAGACAAAGAAGAAAUAACUCUUCUCUCCCAGAGAAAACUCAAAGGUGAAGAAGGCAACCAGAGAAAAAGCAUAGGGUGGUUGGAAGCCACAAGAGAAAAUCUAGGUGGAUAGGGACAGAAUCUUCCUCCAGAGUUAAGGAACAUACACUAGGGUAGCUAGAGAAGGAUCCCAUGCAAAAACAGGGACCAGGACUGGAGGACCUAAGGCAGAAAGCUGCAGUGUGAAAGCCCCAUAACAGACAAGAGCUGCAGUCUACGUGACAUCUGUGAACAAGUCCUCUUUACUUCAUCCUUAUGUUUCUGACUCCAAGAUCAAUAGUAAAUAAUUAGAAAAGCCCAGACUAACUGGCCAUGUUCUUAAGGAAGGUGACGUGGUAACAAAAAUUCUAGAUCCUCAAGUACUGUUUGUUUGGGGGACUUGCUGGGGGUCACAGCUGGGAGGGACCAAGGGAAGAGAAUAUACUAUGGACAAUGGGCAGAGUUAAUUUGGGAGAAGGAGUCAAAGUGCCAAGCAAAGAGAUGAAGUGAGGAGAAGGACCAAGUAGAACCAGGCCAGAGUCAAGGAUCAAGUCUAGAUGGGGACACAAAGGCUAUCCAAAGAGAAGCCCAUGGAAUAUGUGGUGGCAGGGGCGGUGGUUUUAUUAUGAUUGUUAUUGGCACUUCCUUCUUUGGUUUAAUCUGCACUUUUGAAGUAUCAUAUGGCAGCUGCAGAAGACCAGGGAUGAGUAUGGCCUCCACUGGACAUGCCAUAGCCAAGAAAGAUCCCAAAAUUUGUGUCCUACAAUUAAGGCAAUCUUAAGGACUGUAAUCAAUGGCCCCAAGUGACCACCUUCUUGCUCCUGUGUUUUGUUUCUUUCUUCCUUGGUUGGGAAAGCACUUUGCACUUAAAUAUUUUUCCAGGCAACUCUACUCAUGUUGCUCAGUUAGGACACCUGAAAAAAAAAAAUGAGCCAUUACACCAUUGCACAGCCCAGUGACUUGCUUACUGGGCUGUUCAUCCGUGUUCAAAUCCCACCAUCUGAUUCGAAGGGCUGGGAAAGGCGUGAUCUCUGGGUGAUGGGAAUCCCUGGAUGCCUCCACCUCUCAGGCUGCAGUGCUGCCAGUUCCCAAGGAUCUGGGCGUUCGCUGCUCCUGCAGGUACUGCCGAGUCUCCUCUACGCAGCCACACCACUGCCUCAUGGGUCUCUGUGAGGGGCUGGGGUCGGUCACAGGUCAGCCAUAGACUCAGCCAGCAAACCCAGCACAGGGCUUUUUUCCUUUAAAGGUCUUCGCUUCAGGUCUUUGCUUUCACGUGAAAAUUCAGGAAAUAUUUGCCUGAAGCACCCCAGGAAGGUGAGGAGUAGUCAAAGAGGGGAGUGAUGGCUGAACUCAGAAGGAAGUAGUUAUGGAAAACGUGGGUGAGCCUGGGCAGAAUAAUCUAGAUGGUGGCAAGUCCAUCUAAAAAAGAUAUUAGGGACGCCUGGGUGGCUCAGUCGGUUAAGCAUCUGACUCUUAAUUUUGGCUCAGGUCAUGAUCUCGCAGUUCGUGAGUUUGAGACCCACAUCGGGCUCUCUGCUGACCAUGCAGAGCCUGGUUGGGUUUCUCCCUCCCCCUCUCUCUCUAUACAUUCAUAUAGCAUAUGAUACAUAGUUAUAUAUUAAAUAUUAUCAAUCUUAAAUAUUUUAAGUUGUAUAUUGAUUUAUUUAAAUAACAAUGUGCUCAAUCUCCAAACCCAUUAUUCUCCCAAGUGUGACACAUGUACUCACUCAUUUAAAAAAAAUGUUUGGUGCCUAGUAUUGCACCAGGAUCAUAUAAAUAGGUUAAAAGCCAGAGAUCGAGGUCAAACUUAACUCUACUUUUUAUGGAUAUGUGUUAACAUGCAAGUUAAUCAAAUUCUCUGGGCCUCGGUGUCUUCAUCUAUAAAACGGGAAUAAUGUCAUUGUGGGGAGUAAAUGAGAUAAUCCAUGUAUGGUGCCUGGCACAUAGUGAGCAUUCAAUAAAUACCAGCUAUAUGGGCCAGCCACUGUGCUAAGUGCUGGGGAUACAGUAAGUCAGUCCAUUUGGGGAAGACAGCCAUGGCAUACCCAAUUCCCAGCAGGAUGAGUGGUAUAAAAAUAAAUGUUAAUGUGCAAUGGCUCCUUGAGUUAGACUUGAAUAAUACUGUGUCCAUAAACUAGCUACUUUUUCUCAAUGCAAUUCCCACCACUGUGAACAAAACCCUUGUUUGACAGAUGCCCUGAUCAGAACUUACAAAGUUCUGGAGGAAAGGCGGGACUUUGAGGGUCUGACAAUUCAGCAAAAGCAAAGAACUCUGGCAUUUUCAAGUUCAAGCCCUUAGGCACUCCUGUUUUUGAAUGUCUGGUUAAUUUCUUUGAUUCAAAAAUCAAUUUCCAUUUUGACAAACAGUUAUGGUCUGCUUCUUAGUCCAGGCUUAAGAGCUGGGGGAUAUAUGAAUUCUAAUCCUUCCCUUGAUCCUAUUUGCUACCCUACCCAAAUUAAAUCCAUAAUUUCCAUUUGCAUGCAUUUUUUUCCCUCUAAGAGGAAGCAAUGGACAGCACCCAGCCAUCACCUAUGAGAAAUCAACAACCGGUUCCAUAGUGCAUGACUAUUAGAAGCUCAGGACUCUCCAGGACUAGAGUGGGAGCUAGAAGAGUGCAAAACAAACACAACAUAUUAUAUGCCUCCAUAAGAAACUUCUCUUCCAAGGUAAUACCAAACUUACAUAUGUGACAUAUUUAGUAAACCCAGUGGGACUGAAUUUAUUGAUUCAUUCAAACACUUAUUAGGUAUUUACUGUGAAUGGUGCUCCACCAAAUGCUUGUGGGGAAAAGAUGCCUAGAGUGAGAGGUUAGUCUUCAUGGAAUUUACAAACAAGUAGUAAAAUAGACAUAACCAUAAAUAAUGAUAAUUGAAGGCCAAGAAGUAUAAGCACUAGAGUAGUUCAGGCCAAAUAAACAACUGUAGCUAGAAGAAGUCAUUUCAUGUGAGAAAUGACACUUGGGACUUAAAGUGUGAAAGGGAUACUGACAAGAAGUUCAGGAGAGGGGCAUUACAAGUGGAGGAUACAGUAGAAAUAGAAGCCCACUGGUAAAAUGUGUGGCCCAUAUGAGAAUAGACCAGAACAGAACAAUGCAGUUGUAAUAGAGACAGGGGUGAGAAUCUGGCCAGGAACAUCUUAUCCAAAACCUAGAAGGCCAUGCUGGCAAACUUUGGUUUUCCUUCGUAGCCACACUGAACUGGCUUUUUUGAGCAGGGAGAUAACACAAUUAGAUCUUUGCUUUAAAAAAUGAACAGGCAGGGGCCCCUGGGUGGCUCGGUCGGUUGAGCGUCUGACUUCAGCUCAGGUCAUGAUCUCAAGGUUUGUGAGUUCAAGCCCUGCAUCUGGCUCUGUGCUGACAGCUCGGAGCCUGGAGCCUGCUUCAGAUUCUGUAUCUCCCUCUCUCUCUGCCCCUCUCCCACUCACACUCUGUCUCUCUCUGCCUCUCAAAAAUAAAGAAAUGUAAUAAAAAAAAAAUUUUUAGAUGAACAGGCACCACAUUAUAGAGUAAAUCACAGGGAGGGAAGGGGGGAUCCCUUUAGGAAGCAUACAGUCUGAAUUAAGGAAAUGGGAAGGGAAAGGUGAUGGUUGUAGCUGUGAAACUUGAAGGCAAGUCAGGAAUGAAUAAUGAUAAAAGAAGGGGCGCCUGGGUGGCUCAGUCAGUUAAUCAUCAGACUCUUGAUUUCAGCUCAAGUCAUGAUCUCACAGUUUGUAAGAUCGAGCCUCAAGCCUCAUGUUGAGCUCCACGCUGAGCAUGGAGCCUGCUUGGGAUUCUCUCUGCCCCUCUUCUCCCCUUGCUCUCUCUCAAAAAUAAAUAAACUUAAAAAAAAAAAAGAAGAAGGGGCCAUUGGUGGAAUCUUCAGCCAACUUAGAUUGAAAUUUAUAGGAUGUACCUGCAGCUAAACCUUGGCAAAUAUCAUAAUCUACUUUUUAUCUUCACUACCUACAUGUAACCUCUUUCAAAGGAACCCAGGUCUUACCAAUUCGAUGAUAUCUUUUUACUCUUCAUUCUAUUCAACCUCUUUGUUCAAGUUGUCAUUGAUGACCAUUGUUGACCUGCCUCACCUUCAUGAAACAUUUUCUUUCUGUGCCUGAAGUGAUGCUACAUCUCUUCAUCAUUGUCUUACUUCUCUGACCACAUCGCUAGUUUAUUUUCACUGUCAGGUAGAACAAGAUGACAAAAGAAAGGGGACAGGAUAUGCAAAGACAAGAAGGAAAUGAAAUAAAAUUACAGUAUUUAUGCCCACAGGCUUGGAAUUUGCUGAACAAACAGACUUUGCCUAGUGGAUCAAAUAAACUGAACUAGAUAAUAUGGACAGAAUUUUGCAUCCUUUGGAGAUGGAUAUCCCUAUUCUUAGAAAUUCACAAUCUCAAACAAGUCUGUAGAUUCUGCUAAAAGUAAGUGGGCUUGACUGGUAUGUGCAUGUCUGGCACUAAGUGCAAAUUAAAAGUGUAAGAAAACCAGCAAAAGCUAUUAUAUAAAAUUUAUAGUUGAUUAAUGACUUUUAUAAUAGCUUUAAUAUAAUUCAUAUGCCAUACAGUUCACACUUCUAAAUUCAAAAAGUUUUAGUAUAGUCACACAAUUAUAUAACCAUUAUCAUAAUCAAUUUUCUGAAUAUUCUGAUCACUGCCAAAAGAAACUCCAUAUCCAUUAGUAGUCACUCCCCAUUUUUCCUCAACCUCCUCAGUCCCAGACAACUACCAAUCUACUUUCUGUUUCUAUGGAUUUGCCUAAUUUGGACAUAUCCUGUUAUAUAUGUGGCCUUUGUGACUGGCUUCAUUCAUCCAGCAUAAUGCUUUCAAAGUCCAUCCAUGCUGUAGCACAUAUCAAUACCGCAUUCUUUUUAUUGCUAAAAAAUGUUCCAUUAUAUGGAUAUACCACAUUUUGUUGCAUUCAUCAGCUGAUGGACAUUUGGGUUAAUUCUACUUUUAAGCUAUUAUGAACAAUGCUUCUAUGAACAUUUAUAUACAAGUUUUUUUUUUUAGUUAUUUAUUUAUCUUGAGAGAGAACAUGAGCAGGCGGAAAUGGCAGAUGGAGAGAAAGAAUCCCAAGCAGGCUCCAUGCUGUCAGUGCAGAGACCAACGCAGGGCUCAAUCUCACAAACCGUGAGAUCAUGACCUGAGCUGAAAUGAAGAGCUGAACGCUUAACCAACUGAACCACCCAGGCACCCCUGUAUAUAAGUUUUGUUUGUUUGGUUGUUUGGGUUUUUUUGGCUUUAACCCAGAAUCAGGAAAUGUAUACAAGUUUUUAUGUGGACACAUAUUUUCAUUUCUCCUGGAUAUGUAUUGCUGGAUUAUACGGUAACUUUAUAUUUAACCUUCUGAGGAACUACAAGACUAUUUACUAAAGUGGCUGCAUCAUUUUACAUUCCCACCACCACUGUAUACAAUUGUUUUCUAAAACUUCACCUUGUUCUACAAAUAAUUUAAGGCAUUCUACAACACUUGUUUAAGGUAUAUGCAAUACGACAAAAUAAAAAAUAAUUAUAGGCAGAAGAGAAAACGAAACGGGGUGCCUGGGUGGCUCAGUCAGUUAAGUGGCCGGCUUUGGCUCAGGUCAUGAUCUCACAGCUCCAAAGCUCAUGAGUUCAAGCCCCACAUGGGGCUCUGUGCUGACAGCUCGGAGCCUGGAGCCUGCUUCCGAUUCUGUGUCUCCCUCUCUCUCUGCCCCUCCUCUGCUUGCACAGGCUCUCUCUCUCUCACUCACUCUCUCUCUCUCUCGCUCUCUCAAAAAUAAGUAAACAUUAAAAAAAAUUUUUAAAGAAGAGAAAAUGAAACAAAGGGGAAAUUAGGGAAUAAAAAUAGAAUUUAGAGUACCAAAUAAAUUACUUUGGUAGAGUGGCCACAAAUUUGGCUCCGGGCUCUGUAGCAGCCAAUGUGAAGGGAAAAUGCAGCCUGCUCUAUAUUUCUUAAAAUCCAUGAUGUAAAAACAGACUAGGUGCUUGUAGAAAUAUGAAUAUAUGAUGAUGACUGGCAAGGAGACUAGAAAUAGAGGUUUCCUGGGUUUUCAUAGAAAUUACUCUAUAUAAGGUAAUGAAUACUAUUUCCCUCCAAUAAACAUAGCCAUGAGUUUCACAGAGUUGUUUCUUAUCUUCAAUCCCAACUGAUAUCUUCUAUCAAAGAAUUAUAUAGCAAAAAAAUUCUCCCUGGGUGGCCAAUGUAAGGAGGCACAGAGAGCUCUUUGAUCUUAACCCAGAGCUAAAUCUACCAGUUACUUGGUAAAUUUUUAUAGUCAGGUCCCCUGAUUCUUAAAAUGCUGAAUGCAGAUGCUGGCAUCCAUCAAGGAAAGGAAAGGCCGGGUGCCAAGACACCAUGUACAGUUGACCUUUCAACUUCACGGGUCCACUUAUAUGUGAAUUUUUUCAAUGAAUACAGUAUAAUACUGUAAAUGUAUUUUCUCUUUACAUUUUCUUAACAUUUUUCUCUAGCUUACUUUAUUGUAAGAGUACAGGAUAUAGUACAUAUAAUACACACUAUGAGUUAAUCAACUCUUUAUGUUAACAGUAAGGCUUCUAGUCAACCAUGGGCUAUUAGUAAAGUUUUGUAUCAGAAGUUACACACAGAUUUUCAACUGUGUGAGGGGUUGGUGUCUCCAACCCUCACAUUGUUCAAAGGUCAGCUGAACUAUUCAUUGCAAAGAAUGGAAAGAAAAUUGCUGAAAAAUUUAGCCCAUGGAUGAAAAGCAACUCAAAGAAGGGAGCAAUUUAAUCCCACAGGUGGAGUUUGGGAGAGGGCAAGAAGAGGAUUGAAGCACAACACAAGUGGGAAUGGAAACAGUAAGACUGUCAAAUUUGCUUUUUAAAUAAUGACAAUGCUGGUUCCAAAUUUCAGGGCAUAGUACACGGUGGAGAAAGAUUAGACUGAGAAGAAAAAUCAUGGCCAAGACUUUCAAUAAUCUGGCAUUGUGUCCGCCCACAUUUAGCACCCUUCCCUUGAUGUGUGCUUUUUCGGUAAAGACUUACAUAGACUAAACACUGGCUGAUUGCCAACUAUAUGAAUAUUAUUGAUGGUAUAAAAUCAAAUUGGGGAAGGGGUGCCUGUGUGGCUCAGUCGGUUGAGCGUCUGACUUCAGCUCAGGUCAUGAUCUUGUGGUCUGUGAGUUCGAGCCCCAUGAUGGGCUGGCUCUGUGCUGACAGCUCAGAGCCUGAAGCCUGCUUCUGAUUCUGUGUCUCCCUCUAUCUCUGCCCCUCUGCCACUCAUGCUCUGUUUCUCUCAUUCUCAAAAAUUAAUAAAUGUUAAAAAAAUUUCAAAAAAAUCAAUUUGGGGAAAAUAAACUAGACUGGGUUUUCAUUAAUACCCUAAACACUACUGAAAAGCCUGGAGAUGGCACAAAAACAGACAGACACUCAGAUCAAUGGAACAGAAUAGAGAACCCAGAAAUGGACCCACAAAUAUAUGCCCAACUAAUCUUUGACAAAGCAGGAAAGAAUAUGCAAUGGAAUAAAGACAGUCUCUUUAGCAAAUGGUGCUGGGAAAACUGGACAGCGACAUGCAGAAGAAUGAACUUGGAUCACUUUCUUAUACCACACACAAAAAUAAACUCAAAAUAGAUGAAAGACCUAAAUGUAAGACAGGAAGCCAUCAAAAUCCUUGAGGAGAAAGCAGGCAAAAACCAUUUUGACAUCAGCCACAAACUUCUUACUCAACACGUCUCUGGAUGCAGGGGAAACAAAAGCAAAAAUGAACUAUUGGGACCUCACCAAAAUAAAAAGCUUCUGCACAGUGAAGGAAACAAUCAGAAAAAUGAAAAAGCAACUGAUGGAAUGGGAGAAGAUAUUUGCAAAUGACAUAUCAGAUAAAAGGUUGGUAUCCAAAAGUAUAAAGAACUUAUCAAACUCAACAACUAAAAAACAAUCCAGUGAAGAAAUGGGCAAAAGACAUGAAUAGACACUUCUCCAAAGAAGACAUCCAGAUGGCCAACUGACACAUGAAAAAAUGCUCAACAUCACUCAUCAUCAGGGAAAUACAAAUCAAAACCACAAUGAGAUACCACCUCACACCUGUCAGAAUUGCUAACAUUAACAACUCAGGCAACAGAUAUUGGCGAGGAUGUGGAGAGAGAGGAUCUCUUUUGCAUUGUUGGCAUUGUUGGUGGGAAUGCAAACUGGUGCAGCCACUCUGGAAAACAGUAUGGAGGUUUCUCAAAGAAUUAAAAAUAGAACUACCCUACACCCCAGCAAUUGCACUACUAGGUAUUUAUCCAAGGGAUACAGAUAUGCUGUUUUGAAGGGGUACGUGCACCCCAAUAUUUACAGCAGUGCUAUCAACAAUAGCCAAAGUAUGGAAAGAGCCCAAUGUCCAUUGACAGAUGAAUGGAUAAAGAAGAUGUGGUAAAGAUAUACAAUGGAGUAUUACUCGGAAAUCAAAAAGAAUGAAAUCUUGCCAUUUGCAACUAUGUGGAUGGAACUGGAGGAUAUUAUGCUAAGUGAAAUUAGUCAAAGAAAGACAAAUAUCAUAUGACUUCACUCAUAUGAGGACUUUAAGAUACAAAAGAGAUGAACAUAAGGGAAGGGAAGCAAAAAUAUAAAAACAGGGAGAGGGAAAAACAUAAGAGACUCUUAAAUAUAGAGAACAAACAGAGGGUUGCUGGAGGGGUUGUGGGAGGGGGGUGGGCUAAAUGGGUAAGGGGCAUUAAGGAAUCUACUCCUGAAAUCAUUGUUGCACUAUAUGCUAAGUAACUUGGGAUGUAAAAUAGAUUAUUAAAAAAAAAAAAAGAGUACACUAAAUGUGAUGGGGAAAAAAAAAAAGCCUGGAGAAAAUAUUGUCAGAUAAUAUGUAGCUGUAAAUGUCAUGCAAAUCAGGAUUUUGUACAGCUAUUCGCAGCCUUGGUUUAUGUUCCUGAGGACACAAACCAUUACCAUGCCUGUCACCUGCCAUCCUUCUGCCCAAUUUCUCAGCAAGAAAAGCUUCCAAGGGCAAUGAACUGCAAUACUUAAAUGACUGCUUCUGUUGCACUUUGGACAGACAGUUCUUCCCAAGGAAGUGGCCACCCAAGGAAGCCAGUUAGUGCUGAGCCUCUGUGCUUUUAGGCCAAGAAAUGAACACUUCACCCCCUGGGGACGUCAAUCCAGUGCCUUGUUCAAGCACUAAAUUUUUGAAAGAUAAAAUAUUUUUCUUUUUUAGGCAAGGGAAAGAGUAAAGACACCAACUGCCAAAGAGAGCCUGGGGAGUCCUUAACACUCUUCCAUUAACAUGAAGGAGCAGAACAGCUCCAUCUAUUACAUCAAAGCCUCAUCAGAGACCCUAAUCCUUUAUGAAAGGAACUCUCAGGCAGCCAAGCCUUUAAUUUGCUGAAUAAUAGGCCCUCUGAUUAACCCUUGCAAAGCAAAGUACAGACGUUGCAGGCAACAAAUGUUCCCAGGCGGUGAGAGAGAAAGGGGGCGGGGGCUGGGAUGGCUCCUACUCCCACUGUUAGUGAACUAACUCUGUGCAUAGGUUUCUAAAUGGUUAGCUUUCUGUUUUCCCAUUUUCAUUUCCCUGUUCACUCUCUCUCCUGGGAAUAUGCUACUUCCAUUCUCUGAGACUUCCUGUGUCCUGAGCUUUAAGCUACUGUAACUCAGUGAAAUGCAUAGACAGAUGAUGUGGAAUGAAUUGUGUUGCCAAAUCUACUCAUAGUAGUAAAUCAGUGACAUGAAAGGCUCCUUCAAUACCAUUUACCCACCCCCACUCUAGGACAAGCCACUUGUGCUCUGUGAUAAAGGACAGACAGAAAGAAAAAAGAGACAGAAAGAGAGAGAAAGAAAGAGACAAAGAGAAAGAGAGAAAGAAAAGGAAAAGAACAGAAGAGAAAAGACAAGACAAAAGAAAAGAAUAGGACUAGGACUAGGAACCCACAAGUAGGAGAAAGAGGAAAGAAAAAAGGAAGAGAAGGAAUAAUGUCAGCUCAGGCAUUUCCCCUAUCUGUUCUAAUUAGAUAGACGUCUAGUGUUAAAAAGAAAGAUAGACAGAGGCACCUGGAUGGCUCAAUGGUUGAGCGUCUGACUUCGGCUCAGGUCAUGAUCUCAUAGUUUGUGAGUUCCAGCCCCACAUCAGGCUCACUGGGGUCACCACGGAGCUUGCUUCAGAUCCUCUGUAUCCCUCUCUCUCUGACCCUCCCCGACUCACACUUUCUCUCUCAAAAAUAAAUAUUUUAAAAAAAGGUGGAUAAUUCUUUUUGUGGGAUCCUAUUGCUGGAGGAAGACAACUGUAUACACUAUGUUGCCAAGGGACAGGUAACAGGUUAGAUAGGUCGUGGGCUUCACACUAAUGUACAUUUAUAAAUCAUAUACAUAUUGGAUUUUCUGCUCAUUAUAUCAGAUAAUGAGAUGAAUGAUUGAAUGUAUGACACAGUGGUCAAUUAUCACGUGGAGGAUAUAAAUUCUAUUGUGCUGAGGACAUUUAUCUCUUUAUUGAUCUGGCUCUGAAAGCAAAGAUCAUAAAUUACAAGCCUUCAAUAACUGUAUGAUAAAUAUUCUAAUAACAAAAUGCCACCAGGUCCUGUUUCCCCAAUAAAUUUCCAUAUGGUUUCAGUUAAAGAAGUAAAAUGCAGAGAAUUUUUACUUAAUUUUUAUUUUAUUAUCAAAAAUUAUAUGUAGAAUGAAGACCAUACAGAAAAGCCUAUCUAUCCCGAACAGUCAUGUGCUGGAGCCAGCAUGCACAAGGUUCCCUAGAUAUUGUUACAUUUUCAGGAAUUUUGUGAACUGAUGGAUGUUACAUUGGUAGCCUGAAAUUGGCCAUGGUGGUGGGGGGGGGUAUUUUAUACCACGGAAAUCAGUAAAUGAUACGAAUUAGCCCCCCAGCCCCUCCCAGACAAUUGUUAAACAUCAUUGCUCAUGGACUAGAGAUGCUGCGGAAAACUGCCUGAUAAUUCAAAACCAUUGUGUGAUAUGGGUAGAAAUCUCUUCUUACCACCUUUUCCCUCUAAUUCUUUUUUUCCUCAUUUCCUGCCUUCUGCUGGAUAAAAGUUUCCUAGAGACCCUUUUAUCCUUCUGUUGGUUUAGAAACUAGACAUUGUUUUCUUAUAAUUUUAGUCAUUAUCCUACAUGUUUAAAAUGUUUGCUGAACUAUAAACUUUCCAGUAGUUCUAUCCUCUUUUUGAGCACAAGAAUCUAUGCAUGCCUUAACCACGAACUGAAUACUACUGUCCCCCUGAAUUUUAUGACUAUUUAGAUUUAUUUCACCCCAAGUCAUUUCUUACAGUUAACAGUUACACUUUGAAAAUAUUCUACGAAAUUAUUUCAUUUCAAAUGAAUUUCUGCUUCAUUUGUGAUGCCAGCAAGUUGUCUUUGUUAGCCUUAGAGUUUGUGUGUUUUGAAAUUUCAGUUGGCAGGCUCACUUUGAGGAGGAGGAGAAGAAUUUUUCCCUUUCCCUCUCACUUUCUCUCUGUGCUUACUUACUCUCUUAGUGUAAUGACUUCGGGGUUGUGUCUUCUUGGCUCCCUAGGUCUCUAGCCCAGAGCCAGUUUUUAGAAUGGAAUUUUGUGCUCCUAUCCCAUGGUUUUAUUAGGCAUAUGAAAGAGCUCAUCACUGUGGCAGCAGAAGGCCCAGCCACUUAUUUAUCCUACCAUUCUCAGGCAGAAGCUGCCUAAGAGCCAUAGUCCUGGCUGAUGGUCAGCACCUCCCUAGGUGUUGGAGAACAACAGAGGAAAUUGCUACAGUCAGAGCACAGGAUCAUAUGACCUCUCCUUAUCCCAUUCUUUUCCUCAGCUUUUCAUCAGCCAACAAGAACUACUCCACACACUGGCUUCAGGCAGGAGUCUAACUCUGGACAGUCUUCCUUGGAGCCCUCUUAGUCCUUUUAACCACAGGAGCCAAACUUCCAGCUAUCACUGCUUGCUUCUGAUCCCGGCAGAUUUAGGACUUCAGCUUAGCUGAGUGAGCAUUUUGUGUUUUCAUUCCACUCUGAUCUUAGAAUCUAGAUUCCUUCCUUCCUUCCCUAGUAUAAUGUUUUUGGCCUUUUUUAUUUAAAACAAGCUUUUUUAAUGCUUAUUUUGGGGAGAGAGAGAGACAGAGCACAAGUGGGAGAGGGACAGAGAGAGAGGGAGACACAGAAUCUGAAACAGACUCCAGGCUCUGAGCUGUCAGCACAGAGCUCGACGUGGGGCUCUAACUCACAAACCAUGAGAUCAUGACCUGAAGUCAGAUGCUCAACUGACUGAGCCACCCAGGCACCCCUGGGCCUUUCUUUUUUAUAUGUGGCCUGUCAUUGUUACAUUUUUGGAAAAGCAUAAAGUUAAAGAUCCCCUUUGACAGAUAUUCUUGCCUGGAAACAUCUAAAGGCAAAAAUCCUUCAAAUUCAAAGUUACCCAAUAAUUUCUUCUGCUUUCCACCACCCUAAGUUGUUUUCCUUUGGUAAUUAAUAUCUACUGGUGCAAAGAAUGUAUUAAUAAUGUAUAUGGCCAAGAUUAGCAGCUGUGAGAUGUGCCCUUGCUCUUAUUUUAUAGAGGAAGCAAAGUCUACGUCAUAGGUGUCAAACUCCCCCCACAUCUUGAUUCUCACCCCUCACACCUGCGUAUUCCCCUAAGGCAGCCUUGGCAGGCCAAUGUUUACAUCAGAAGGAAAUUGUCAAACUGUAGAAUGUCAUGUCACUGACCAUGGUCCUGAAACAUCAUGAGCCAUGAAGACAUAGGUGUUUAUCUUAAUCCUGGGUUCAGAAAUGACUUCUCUUCAACCUUUCCCUGGAAUUCUGAACCAGGAGAUAGAGUAGGUGGUGGUGGAAAACAGGACAAGUGAUGUGGCAGGGGGAUAUGGGGAAGGGGGGUACGAAAUGAAGCACAAUAGGCAGAAUCUGUUGGAAAGGAAUAUAAUCACUGAGACUGCCAGGGAUGAUUUAUUUUGACAUCAUUUUCAUGUAUUCAAAGCAACCAAAGAAGAACCCAUAGUUAACCAUGUCUACAUAAUCCACUUUUAACAAACUUAUCAUGUUUCUGAUGCUUAAACUUUUAUUUUUGCUUUGGGCAAGUAUGUUGGGGGAGUGCAUUUGACCUUUUUUUUUUUUUUUUUUUUUUUUUGCCUCAUAUUCUUUUCCUUAAUAUUAUGUUUUCAGUUAGGAGAGAUUUAUAAAGACCAUGAGUCCUAAUAUUCAAUUUCUAACUCAAGUCCAUCAUAUUGCUGUGUAUGCUUUUGAAGGUAUCACCUCCUCUCUGCAAUUUUUAGUUCUUCAAAAGGAACUGACAUUUACUGAGCUCCUGCCAUGUGCUAGCAAUGUGCCAAAUAUUGGGGAUAAAAGCAAAAAAGACACAUUCUCUGUUUUGGAACUAGACAGUGGUGAUUGUAAAAAACUGUGAAUGUGCUGAAUCACACAUUUCCUUUAAUGGUUCCCUUUAAAAUGGUCAAUGUUUAUGUGAAUUUCACCUAAACAUAUGCACACACACACACAUGCACACACCAUACAGCAACAUGACCUUGGGUACUGAACUAUGAUACAGACCUUGAUUUGAAUCCUAGCUCUGUCAGUUUCCAGUUGUGAGACAUCAGGACAGUCACUUACCUUCUAAGAGGUUCACUUUCCCAGUAUUAACCUGUCUCAUAUGGCAGGGGUUAGGAUUCACUGAAAUAAUGCAUGUAAAGUGCAUUUCACUGUGUCUGACACAUAGCAUGCUUUAAAUAAAUCUUACCACUAAUAUUAUCUGUACUCCUCACACAGAUAACCCCAGAUUUAUUCAACUACUUUUAUUUUAACUCUCGGGUAUCUUUUAGGCUGUACUUGAUUUGGUUGAAUGUGAGCUUUCUUUGGCUAAAUGAGCUUUGCCAUGAACAACGAUUUUUGCAUAACAUAGAACUUGGCUAUAAUUAAAAAGAAAAAUGAACUAUAGGUCCACAAAAGUAUAUGCUACCUUUAUACAGAUAUCCAGUUCAGGGUCAUAGAAAAUAUCUCUAAGUGAUCAUGAUCCUCUACCCUGGACACAGAUGCAGAAUCCUUCUAAUAUAGCGUCCUAGCAAUCAGGUGGACCAUCCUGGGAUAUGAGAUGACACCAAUUUGCCAUCUCUUUGUAUAUAGUUUAUUCCUCUCAGACAGACACAUAUGACCAAGAUAUCUUAGCACAGAAUAUGUAUUUGAUUCUUGAAGUCCUCGGUAAAGUCAGAAAAUAUUGGUAAUGACAGAAAUACCCCUCUUCUACAAUUGGGCAGUAAGCUUGGGAAGAAUUUAACACAAACCCUUAGUAUCUGAGACAUAUUUCUAAAAAAAUAAAAGGGAAGAAGGAAGGAAACAAGGAAGGAAGCAAAUAAGGAAGAAAACACUAUGGCCUUAUGAUAUAAUACUAAUACUUGACUUUGUGACGAUGUUCUACUGAAUUAAAUAUUUUGGGGCACCUGGGUGGCUCAGUCAGUUAUGCAUCCAACUCUUGGUUUCAGCUCAGGUCAUGAUCUCACGGUUUGGUGAGUUCAAGCCCCAUAUCAGGCUCUGUGCUUGGGUUUCUCUCUCUCUCUCCCCCUCUGUCUCUGUCCCUCUCCCACUCAUGCUGUCUCUGUCUCUCUCAAAAUAAACUUAUAAUUUUUUUUUUUUUUUACAUUUGAUUCUCACUGGUAGACAGGUGGACACUGCUAUCCUCACCCACAGCUAAGGAAGUAGAGGCUUGGAGAGAUUAAAUGAGUUAAGGUCAUAUACCAACCAAGUCAUGGACUGUAUUAGUUUCCUAGGGCUGCUGUGACAAGGUAACACAAACUGAGUGGCUUAACAAGAGAUACUUAUUGUCCCACAGCCCUGGAGGCUGGAUGUCUGAGAUCAAGACUCAAGGCUGGUUAGCUCCCUCAAAGGUGCUAACAAAGGAUCUGUUCCAGGCCUCUCUCCUAAUUUUAAUUGUUUCCUGGCUUAGAGCUGCAUAAGGCAUUCUCUCUAUGUGCAUAUCUGUGUACAAAUUUCCCCUUUUUAUAAAGACACCAGUUAUACUGGUUUAGGGGUCCACCCUACUCCAGUAUGAUCUCAUUCUAACUAAUUACAUCUGCAAUGGCUCUAAUUCCAAAUAAGAUCAUAUUAUGGGAUAUUGGGGGUUAGGACUUCUACGUAUGAAGUUUUAGGAGACAUAAUUCAAACCAUAACAUGGGUUGAUCAAAGCCAAGCAUUCUGUACAAGCAUGAGAAACACUGCUUGAACCUAAGGAUUUAAGCUUUGGGCUUCUCUUAAAGGCAAGAAUUUCUAUUAUUCACUAAAAUAAUAGCUUUUUAAAUAAAAUUCUUCUUUCAGAAACAUUCAAUAGUCCUUCAUAUUAGAAACCAAUUAUGGGGGGCUCUUGGGUGGCUCAGUCCAUUAGGCGCCCAGCUUCGGCUCAGGUCAUGAUCUCACGGUUUGUGAGUUCAAGCCCUGCAUCGGGCUCUGUGCUGACAGCUCAGAGCCUGGAGUCUGUUUCAGAUUCUGUGUCUCCCUCUCUCUCUGCCCCUCCCCCACUCAUGCUGUCUCUCUCUCUCUCUCUCUCUCUCUCUCUCUCAAAAAUAAACAUUAAAAAAAAUUUCAGAAACCAAUUAUGGGAUUUUUCCCCCACUCAUUGGCCUGGUAUGAUACCUAUGUCAUGUAUUUGAUGAGGUUCCUUAUUUCCUUAGGAGGUUCCAAAUUAUAAUACUAGAAGGUUGGCUGGAAGCUGCACACAUAUCCAAAAGGAGAUGGCAGAUCAAGAGAAUCUAUGAUUACUCAUUAUAUUUAAUAUCACUCUUAUAAAUUUCGAAUCUAUUUAAAAAAACGAAUCAGCCCUUUCCUCAUUAGUGCCAACAGGCUAUGUCUGUUAUUUUUAUCCCUGCCAGAAAUCAUCAGUGGCCUGUAAUAAUGUAGUACUAGUGACAUGAGCCUUCAUUUCCAUUUUUAAUUAAAAUUCUUACUGACCUAGAGCCAGAUUUCCUUCUGCACUAGAGCCUGUGGAAAUUCCACAGUGGAAACUACAGUAGCCAGGGAGUAGAGGAUCAGGCAGGAAGCCGGGAACUUCACACUGUACCAGAAGAACAUCACAGCUCUUAAGAGAAAAUCCAGGAGGCGCCUGGGUGGCUCAGUCAGUUGAGUAUCUGACUCUUGAUUUCAGCUCAGGUCAUGAUCCUAGGGUCAUGGGAUUGAGCCCUGCAUUGGGCUCUGCAUUGGGCAGGGAGCCUGCUUGGGAUUCUCUCUCUCUCUUCCUCUGCUUUUCCCCCCAGCUUGUUCUCUCUCUCUGUCUCUUUCUCUCUCUCAAAAAUAAAUAAAUUUAAAAGAGAGAGAGAGAGAGAAAGAGAGAGAGAGAGAGAAGAUCCAGGAACGGUGUCAACCUGGCCCCUCCAAGCUCUCUACUUGUCCUUACUUUCCCCAUCCCGCCGAGGUCCUAGAUCAGCCUCAGUGAGGAUCAUGAAUGCCCCUCCUCAUGAUCCACUUCCAUUGUGACUUAUCAUCCUAUGGAUGCUAUUGGCUCUCCUUCCUGACUCUCACACCUCUUUUGAUGGUACCACUAU
This 20595-nucleotide long non-coding RNA is filed under the name Lynx pardinus (Iberian lynx). The stretch from base 11249 to 11333 matches the Rfam family "tRNA". Lineage: Eukaryota; Metazoa; Chordata; Mammalia; Carnivora; Felidae. The record is from RNAcentral.